UCGGGAAUUUUCCACAAUGGGCGCAAGCCUGAUGGAGCAACACCGCGUGCAGGAGUAAGGCCUUCGGGUUGUAAACUGCUUUUAUUUGUGACGAUUUUGACGGUAGCAAAUGAAUAAGGACCUGCUAACUACGUGCCAGCAGCCGCGGUCAUACGUAGGGUCCAAGCGUUAUCCGGAAUUACUGGGCGUAAAGAGUUGCGUAGGUGGCCUAGAAAGCGAAUAGUGAAAGCGUGCGGCUCAACCGCAUAUCCAUUAUUUGAACUACUAAGCUAGAGUAUGGGAGAGGUAGAUGGAAUUUCUAGUGUAGGAGUGAAAUCCGUAGAUAUUAGAAGGAACACCGAUGGCGUAGGCAGUCUACUGGCCCAUUACUGACACUAAGGCACGAAAGCGUGGGGAGCGAACGGGAUUAGAUACCCCCGUAGUCC
RNAcentral lists this ribosomal RNA (425 nucleotides) under uncultured bacterium. Its description in RNAcentral is "bacterial SSU rRNA". It matches the Rfam family "Bacterial small subunit ribosomal RNA", at positions 355 to 796 of the family's 1533-position model. The record is from RNAcentral.